CCUACGGGAGGCAGCAGUAGGGAAUCUUCCGCAAUGGGCGAAAGCCUGACGGAGCAACGCCGCGUGAGUGAUGAAGGUCUUCGGAUCGUAAAACUCUGUUAUCAGGGAAGAACAAAUGUGUAAGUAACUGUGCACAUCUUGACGGUACCUGAUCAGAAAGCCACGGCUAACUACGUGCCAGCAACCGCGGUAAUACGUAGGUGGCAAGCGUUAUCCGGAAUUAUUGGGCGUAAAGCGCGCGUAGGCGGUUUUUUUAAGUCUGAUGUGAAAGCCCACGGCUCAACCGUGGAGGGUCAUUGGAAACUGGAAAACUUGAGUGCAGAAGAGGAAAGUGGAAUUCCAUGUGUAGCGGUGAAAUGCGCAGAGAUAUGGAGGAACACCAGUGGCGAAGGCGACUUUCUGGUCUGUAACUGACGCUGAUGUGCGAAAGCGUGGGGAUCAAACAGGAUUAGAUACCCUGGUAGUCCACGCCGUAAACGAUGAGUGCUAAGUGUUAGGGGGUUUCCGCCCGUUAGUGCUGCNGCUACGCAUAAGACACUCCGCCGUCGGGGAGGUACGGACCCGCCGAGGUUAGAACGUACGAACGUAGUAGUUAGUACGGACGUGAGACGUUGCCGACGGACGACGACGAGGGGAGGUUAGGG
This 644-nucleotide ribosomal RNA is filed under the name uncultured bacterium. RNAcentral's name for it is "bacterial SSU rRNA". The stretch from base 1 to 544 matches the Rfam family "Bacterial small subunit ribosomal RNA", at positions 338 to 873 of the family's 1533-position model. The record is from RNAcentral.